RNAcentral lists this long non-coding RNA (435 nucleotides) under Mytilus galloprovincialis (Mediterranean mussel). Lineage: Eukaryota; Metazoa; Mollusca; Bivalvia; Mytilida; Mytilidae. The record is from RNAcentral.
UAUUAUUAGUUUUAUUUUUCACAGCCACGGACAAAUUAAUAAUGAAGGACCAAUUCUGAUCUUCUGAUUGUUCUUAUUUAAAGUUAUUUUCUCUAUCCAUUUCAUCAUCUGAAUCAUUUUCUCAGUAUUUGUUAUCUCCUUCUAAGAUUUCAAUCGCCGAUUGUUUGCCAUGAACAAAUUUAGCAGGCCACGUGUAGAUCGGCACUUUGGUUUCCAUAGGUUUCAGUUUGUUUAUAACAGGAAACCAGUACCGGAAAUUAGCAGCAGGUUCAUCUGAAGACCGAUGUAAACACAUAUUGGAAUUAGUUGCGGUACAACUAAUUACCGAUAAAAAAGGCACUGCAACGGCCGUUUUUACAUCGGUCAUCGGGACCGACACUAGCUUUCAAUAUACUGGUCCGAGCCUCAUUUUGACCGAUAGGACCGACAGGACCG